RNAcentral lists this ribosomal RNA (301 nucleotides) under uncultured bacterium. Its description in RNAcentral is "bacterial SSU rRNA". It matches the Rfam family "Bacterial small subunit ribosomal RNA", at positions 496 to 796 of the family's 1533-position model. The record is from RNAcentral.
AUUCGCCCUUUGCCAGCAGCCGCGGUAAGACGAGGGAUCCUAGCGUUGUUCGGAAUUAUUGGGCGUAAAGCGGGUGUAGGUGGCUUUAUAAGUCAGAUGUGAAAGCCCAGGGCUUAACCCUGGAAGGGCAUUUGAUACUAUUUAGCUUGAGUGUUGGAGAGGUUACUAGAAUUCCUGGUGUAGUGGUGAAAUACGUAGAUAUCAGGAGGAAUACCGGAGGCGAAGGCGGGUAACUGGCCAAACACUGACACUGAGACCCGAAAGCGUGGGGAUCAAACAGGAUUAGAUACCCUGGUAGUCC